AAUCAAUUUUUUCUUUAAUGUGUGAAUUUUCUUAAGGUUUUUGUAUUUUAUUUAAUAUUAAUCAAAAUAUAAUUAAAAAUAUCUUUGUACGAAAUACAUUUGUAUAAACAAAAUAAUGUGUUAAUCCUGUGCGAGCAGUAAAUAUAUAAGAUAAUAAUAUCCUAGUUUGUUUUUGGUUCUGAUUGAAACGAGAAAUAUAUUAGUUUUAUUAUGAGGUUUAUUUAUUUUUAUUUUUUAUAUUGAGUACAAAAUUUCUCCUAGAAAUUUCGCUCCAAUCGUAACAUAAAUAAGUAAAUAAAUAAAUGUCAAGAGUCCUUUUUUGUUACAUUUUAACUCUUGUUGGUACUUUAGUUAAGUCAUUUUUUGAAAUACUCAUUAAUAUUCAAUAUAAUGAGGAAAAACUGAUUCUUUGGUUUAAAAAUUAAAAGAUUAAGAAUAAGAUUAUCAUUGGCAGCCAGUUUUUAUUUGUUUUAUGUUAUUUGUUUUUAUUAUUUUAAUCGCAUAACUUUUUUAAAACAAUCGUUGUUUUCGUGAAAAUACACAUUGUUGAAAAAUCAAUAUUAUUGACCGAACUCUGUUCAGAACCGUUUUUCGUUAGCAAUGAUUAAUCUUCGCGUACAGAUAUAAAUUAAAUUCCUCUCUAUAUCCUACCUUCCAAACUUCUCACCAACAACAAUGGCUCACCCGUGGUGUGGAAUAUGCUACCCGUUUAUUUUUAUAUAAUUUCAAUUUUUAUCUAUACUUUGAUUUACUUAUAUAUAUAUAAAUAAAAUAUCUCUGCACCCUUCAUUUAACAUAACUGAACUGGGUAACUUCUGAACUCUAAUCGUAUUUAUCGUUUUUUAAAUUAAUAUUGUAUAUAUACAGAGUGUAUUUGCAGGCUUUG
Non-coding RNA from Cinara cedri, 886 nucleotides. The record is from the annotation of a GenBank genome assembly. NCBI's taxonomy places the organism in Eukaryota, Metazoa, Arthropoda, Insecta, Hemiptera, Aphididae.